GUGAAUCAUCGAAUCUUUGAACGCAAAUUGCACUCUCUUCGGAGAGUAUGAGUGUUUGAGGGUCAGACUAAAAAAAUCUGACAAAGGUGCUGUUUCGGGGUGAUAUUGGUCGGUUAAUGGGUCACAUUAAAAAUUUGGGUUAAUGAGGUUUAAAAUUUCCUUUAAGUAUCAAUGAAUGUUUAUAAGAUUUAAUUUCUUAAAU
This 202-nucleotide unclassified non-coding RNA is filed under the name Glomus sp. RNAcentral describes it as "partial contains 5.8S ribosomal RNA and internal transcribed spacer 2". The stretch from base 1 to 65 matches the Rfam family "5.8S ribosomal RNA", at positions 84 to 154 of the family's 154-position model. Lineage: Eukaryota; Fungi; Glomeromycota; Glomeromycetes; Glomerales; Glomeraceae. The record is from RNAcentral.